This 129-nucleotide ribosomal RNA is filed under the name Pyrinomonadaceae bacterium. Its description in RNAcentral is "partial 16S ribosomal RNA". It matches the Rfam family "Bacterial small subunit ribosomal RNA", at positions 1 to 126 of the family's 1533-position model. Lineage: Bacteria; Pseudomonadati; Acidobacteriota; Blastocatellia; Blastocatellales; Pyrinomonadaceae. The record is from RNAcentral.
ACUAACGAGAGUUUGAUCCUGGCUCAGAAUCAACGCUGGCGGCGUGCCUCAGACAUGCAAGUCGAACGAUUAAAGCUCUCUUCGGAGAGUGUAUAGAGUGGCGCACGGGUGAGUAACACGUAAGUAAUC